UUUUCACCAACGGAACAGGGGGAAAAAAAGGAAGAAAAAAAAAAGACAUGGAUGGCAGCCAUCUCAAACUCCAAACCAGCCGCGACACCCGCCCACCCUCUCUGGUCCAAUAAAUGUGCCGCGCAACUGUUUGUCUGGUAACUGUGAGAGUUACCUUCGCACGGUAAACGCUCGAUCUUUUCUGAGAAGCGAGUGUAAUGAAUGCGGCAUGUGACCCCUGCUGGCUUGGAGAAGAGCUCGGGAAGAGUGGUUUCUUUUGUGGACGUGGAAGAGGGCAGGGAGGUGAAGUGAGGAGCCUGCGCGGUGCGGGAGCCAAUAAAGAUUUCGUUGUGAUCAUCAAAAGAAGAGAGUCCGACCGAUAUUGAGGAUGAGGCAGUGGAGCCGGAAGGCAAAAAGGUGGAAAGGAUUCUGAGCACCACUCCAUCUCGCACUGGAGCUUUCUCAGCAACCCAGAUUUUGCACCCCACACGCGUCUACCACUCUGCCAAGUUUAAAAAUUGCAACAAGAAAGGGCCUCGGCUUCAAGCUGGAAUGACAUACAUUCAACACACUUAAGACGCUCUGGCUGGUAAACUACUACGUGGAGGGAGCCAAGUCCUGUAGUGAUGUGCAAUGUUCCCAUAUACUUGUCAUGUCCAAGACUUGAUUAUGAGAGUUUUCUUUUUCUUUUUUUUAUCAAGCCAUCUGUAAUGUUGCAAAACUAUCACUAUGCUGAUCACAAGCACCCACUGAAAAGUAGAUUUUAUGCAGUUAUCUGUUGUGCAGCCUGUAAAAAAACAUGUAGAUUUGUAGUGAUUUUUGUCUCUCCCUUUGAAUGUGUGCGUGACAGUAAGAGGGAGGGAAGGACAGCAAGAGACAGGCAUGAAAUCUUGUCUUUUUUAUAUUUGACUGUAAACCUGUAAUGGAUUGUAGGAAUGAAAUUGCCUGUUACCAUAUGGGGGUAGCAUUGACGAAGGGUGCCAUCGGGUAACUAAAUAACAGAUGAGAGGACAGGAUGAAAGACACUGCUUUAAUCCACCACAACUGAUUUGAUAAUAAAACUCGAGUUCAUUUCACAGCAAAGCCAAUUAUGUCUUCAGUGAGUUCUGCCAUCACUGCUUUCGUUUCAAUCCUUAGAACCAUUUCUGUGGCGUAUUCAAAACCAGCGGGUUGUCUGUCACAUAUUUGUGAAAAUAUCUUGACAUAAUUAUGCAAAUAUUAGACCGAAACAGCAAACUAUGAUUAAAUCAAUAACUUCGAUUUGAAUAACGUUUUAAAGCCAUGAAAACUUUCAUUUUACAG
Long non-coding RNA from Gasterosteus aculeatus aculeatus (three-spined stickleback), 1281 nucleotides. The record is from Ensembl. NCBI's taxonomy places the organism in Eukaryota, Metazoa, Chordata, Actinopteri, Perciformes, Gasterosteidae.